Molecule: ribosomal RNA, 472 nt
Filed under: uncultured organism
Description: partial 16S ribosomal RNA
Rfam family: Bacterial small subunit ribosomal RNA
Source: RNAcentral
CACUCCUGCGGGAGGCAGCAGUGGGGAAUUUUGGACAAUGGGCGAAAGCCUGAUCCAGCCAUGCCGCGUGCAGGAUGAAGGCCUUCGGGUUGUAAACUGCUUUUGUACGGAACGAAACGGCCUUUUCUAAUAAAGAGGGCUAAUGACGGUACCGUAAGAAUAAGCACCGGCUAACUACGUGCCAGCAGCCGCGGUAAUACGUAGGGUGCAAGCGUUAAUCGGAAUUACUGGGCGUAAAGCGUGCGCAGGCGGUUAUGUAAGACAGUUGUGAAAUCCCCGGGCUCAACCUGGGAACUGCAUCUGUGACUGCAUAGCUAGAGUACGGUAGAGGGGGAUGGAAUUCCGCGUGUAGCAGUGAAAUGCGUAGAUAUGCGGAGGAACACCGAUGGCGAAGGCAAUCCCCUGGACCUGUACUGACGCUCAUGCACGAAAGCGUGGGGAGCAAACAGGAUUAGAAACCCUAGUAGUCCCA